GGGGUCGUAGCUCAAGCUUUGGAAGAGCGUCGCCCUUGCAAGGCGAAGGCUGUGGGUUCGAAUCCCACCGACUCCA
RNAcentral lists this transfer RNA (76 nucleotides) under candidate division Kazan bacterium. Its description in RNAcentral is "tRNA-Ala". It matches the Rfam family "tRNA". From Rfam's summary of the family: Transfer RNA (tRNA) molecules are approximately 80 nucleotides in length. RNAcentral also lists the same sequence under 1 other name. The record is from RNAcentral.